Molecule: transfer RNA, 73 nt
Filed under: Bacteroidota bacterium
Lineage: Bacteria; Pseudomonadati; Bacteroidota
Description: Bacteroidetes bacterium tRNA-Phe
Rfam family: tRNA
About the family: Transfer RNA (tRNA) molecules are approximately 80 nucleotides in length. Their secondary structure includes four short double-helical elements and three loops (D, anti-codon, and T loops).
Source: RNAcentral
GGCGCUGUAGCUCAGAUGGUAGAGCACUCGGCUGAAGCCCGAGGUCGCGUAGGUUCGAUCCCUGCCGGCGCCA